GGGAAUGUAGCUUAGUGGUAGAGUGCUUGCCUAGCAUGCAUGAAGCCCUGGGUUCGAUUCCUCAGUACCA
Molecule: non-coding RNA, 70 nt
Organism: Dipodomys ordii (Ord's kangaroo rat)
Lineage: Eukaryota; Metazoa; Chordata; Mammalia; Rodentia; Heteromyidae
Source: Rfam